Molecule: ribosomal RNA, 1525 nt
Filed under: Marinicella litoralis
Lineage: Bacteria; Pseudomonadati; Pseudomonadota; Gammaproteobacteria; Lysobacterales; Marinicellaceae
Description: bacterial SSU rRNA
Rfam family: Bacterial small subunit ribosomal RNA
Source: RNAcentral
AGAGUUUGAUCCUGGCUCAGAUUGAACGCUGGCGGUAUGCCUAACACAUGCAAGUCGAACGGUAACAGAGGAAAGCUUGCUUUCUUGCUGACGAGUGGCGGACGGGUGAGUAACGCGUGGGAAUCUACCCAGUAGUUGGGGAUAGCCCGGAGAAAUCCGGAUUAAUACCGAAUAAUGUCUACGGACGAAAAGGUGCCUCUUCUUGAAAGCACUUGCUAUUGGAUGAGCCCGCGUUAGAUUAGUUUGUUGGUGGGGUAACGGCCUACCAAGACUACGAUCUAUAGCUGGUUUGAGAGGAUGAUCAGCCACAUUGGGACUGAGACACGGCCCAGACUCCUACGGGAGGCAGCAGUGGGGAAUAUUGGACAAUGGGCGCAAGCCUGAUCCAGCAAUACCGCGUGUGUGAAGAAGGCCUUAGGGUUGUAAAGCACUUUUAUGUAGGAAGAAGGUUUGUUUGUUAAUAGCAGAUGAAUUUGACGGUACUACAAGAAUAAGCACCGGCUAACUCCGUGCCAGCAGCCGCGGUAAUACGGAGGGUGCGAGCGUUAAUCGGAAUUACUGGGCGUAAAGGGUACGUAGGCGGCUUGAUAAGUCAGAUGUGAAAUCCCCGGGCUUAACCUGGGAACUGCAUUUGAAACUGUCUGGCUAGAGUGAGUGAGAGGUUAGUGGAAUUCAAGGCGUAGCGGUGAAAUGCGUAGAGGUCUUGAGGAACAUCAGUGGCGAAGGCGACUAACUGGCACUACACUGACGCUGAGGUACGAAAGCGUGGGGAGCGAACAGGAUUAGAUACCCUGGUAGUCCACGCCCUAAACGAUGAGGACUGGCUGUUGGCGCUAUAGACGCGUCGGUAGCGAAGCUAACGCGUUAAGUUCUCCGCCUGGGGAGUACGACCGCAAGGUUGAAACUCAAAGGAAUUGACGGGGGCCCGCACAAGCGGUGGAGCAUGUGGUUUAAUUCGAUGCAACGCGAAGAACCUUACCAUCCCUUGACAUCCUCAGAACGGUCUGUAAUGGACCCGUGCCUUCGGGAACUGAGUGACAGGUGCUGCACGGCUGUCGUCAGCUCGUGUCGUGAGAUGUUGGGUUAAGUCCCGCAACGAGCGCAACCCCUAUCUAUAGUUGCCAGCACGUAAUGGUGGGAACUCUAUAGAGACUGCCGGUGAUAAGCCGGAGGAAGGUGGGGACGACGUCAAGUCAUCAUGGCCCUUACGGGAUGGGCUACACACGUGCUACAAUGGUGCAUACAGAGGGUUGCCAAGCCGCGAGGUGGAGCUAAUCCCAGAAAGUGCAUCUUAGUCCGGAUUGCAGUCUGCAACUCGACUGCAUGAAGUCGGAAUCGCUAGUAAUCGCGAAUCAGCAAUGUCGCGGUGAAUACGUUCCCGGGCCUUGUACACACCGCCCGUCACACCAUGGGAGUGGGUUGCUCCAGAAGUGGCUAGUCUAACCUUCGGGAAGACGGUCACCACGGAGUGAUUCAUGACUGGGGUGAAGUCGUAACAAGGUAGCCGUUGGGGAACCAGUGGCUG